Molecule: long non-coding RNA, 797 nt
Organism: Homo sapiens (human)
Lineage: Eukaryota; Metazoa; Chordata; Mammalia; Primates; Hominidae
Exons: 3
Source: RefSeq, a predicted model, not a curated record
UGGGCGGUUACUCAGCCUACAAACACAGGUUUCCCAGCACUUGAACUUGAGACUCCUGAAACCGACAAGGUGGUUCAGAAUUCCUUGGAGGAGCUGGGGAGAUGGUAUCAUCUCUGUCACUUGUGGGACUAAAGACCAUUUCAUUUUGCCCAGCAAUAGCCUAGAAUCUGGCACCUGUAGGACUAAAGACCGGGAAUAGCCUGGAAGAAGUGGGUGGGGAGCGCCAGGCAGGGCAGACCAGAUCGCAAAGGAAAAAACCCUGGCGUGCAAGCACCGAUAGGAGAGGAAAUGUUUGCUCAGCUGUAAAGGAGGGAGAGAAAAGGGAGAAAGCACAGGCGGCGUGGCAGGUCUUGUUUCAGUGAGAAUGUAAAGUACGUGAGCUAUGUGCUUUGUGAUGAAGUCGUUGAUUUAUUUCACUUUGGAACAAGCACACCACAACAAAGUGAGAAUGAGAAGAUGGAGUCUCACUCUGUCGCCCGAGCUGGAGUGCAGUGGCACGAUCUCUGCUCACUGCAACCGCCGCCUCCAGGUUCAAGCAAUUCUUUUGCCUCAGCCUCCCGAGUAGCUGGGACUAAAGGCAAGCGCCACCACGCCUGGCUAAUAUUUGCAUUUUUAGUAGAGAUGGCGUUUUACCAUAUUGACCAGGCAGCUCUCGAAGUCCAGACCUUGUGGUCAGGCUCGUCUCGAAUUUCUGACCUCAUGAUCCGCCUGCCUCGGCCUCCCAAAGUGCUGGGAUUACAGGCGUGAGCCACUGUGCCUGAUUCUUUACUUUCUUAAUAAACUUUCACUUUACUCUA